GGGGACGUUCCGGAUUUGACGGGGAGUGAUAAACUGGACGCAAAGCAUGUGGUAUUUUUCUUUGCAAUACCUAAAAGAACAAAGAAAUGCUUAAACGCAAACAAUAAUAAUGCCGUUGCUAUGGCUGCCUAAGUGCAAUUAGCAAUCUAAUAAAUGUGUGUCGAGUUUAUUAGAUAGGAUAGACACAAAAUUUUGAAAGGUGUCAAACUUUCAAUCUUAUUUUUGACUCGCUUAAAGAAAUUGUGUUUGUGCAAGUUUUUUAAGUUAAACCAAAUCACAAAAUAAACAUGUAGAAAAAUCCACUUUAUUCUUUUCGGACGCGAGUUCAACUCUCGCCGUCUCCACCA
This 347-nucleotide transfer-messenger RNA is filed under the name pig gut metagenome. It matches the Rfam family "transfer-messenger RNA". From Rfam's summary of the family: Bacterial tmRNA, also known as 10Sa RNA or SsrA, is named for its dual tRNA and mRNA-like properties. Its role is to liberate the mRNA from a stalled ribosome. The record is from RNAcentral.